This 404-nucleotide ribosomal RNA is filed under the name Rhodotorula mucilaginosa. RNAcentral's name for it is "eukaryotic LSU rRNA". The stretch from base 1 to 125 matches the Rfam family "5.8S ribosomal RNA", at positions 30 to 154 of the family's 154-position model. Lineage: Eukaryota; Fungi; Basidiomycota; Microbotryomycetes; Sporidiobolales; Sporidiobolaceae. The record is from RNAcentral.
GCAUCGAUGAAGAACGCAGCGAAAUGCGAUAAGUAAUGUGAAUUGCAGAAUUCAGUGAAUCAUCGAAUCUUUGAACGCACCUUGCGCUCCAUGGUAUUCCGUGGAGCAUGCCUGUUUGAGUGUCAUGAAUACUUCAACCCUCCUCUUUCUUAAUGAUUGAAGAGGUGUUUGGUUUCUGAGCGCUGCUGGCCUUUAGGGUCUAGCUCGUUCGUAAUGCAUUAGCAUCCGCAAUCGAACUUCGGAUUGACUUGGCGUAAUAGACUAUUCGCUGAGGAAUUCUAGUCUUCGGACUAGAGCCGGGUUGGGUUAAAGGAAGCUUCUAAUCAGAAUGUCUACAUUUUAAGAUUAGAUCUCAAAUCAGGUAGGACUACCCGCUGAACUUAAGCAUAUCAAUAAGCGGAGGA